This 495-nucleotide ribosomal RNA is filed under the name Pleurocordyceps nipponica. RNAcentral's name for it is "SSU rRNA". It matches the Rfam family "Eukaryotic small subunit ribosomal RNA", at positions 65 to 567 of the family's 1831-position model. Lineage: Eukaryota; Fungi; Ascomycota; Sordariomycetes; Hypocreales; Polycephalomycetaceae. The record is from RNAcentral.
AUAAGCAUUAUACGGCGAAACUGCGAAUGGCUCAUUAUAUAAGUUAUCGUUUAUUUGAUAGCACAUUACUACUUCGAUAACCGUGGUAAUUCUAGAGCUAAUACACGCUAAAAAUCCCGACUUCGGAAGGGAUGUAUUUAUUAGAUUAAAAACCAAUGCCCUCUGGGCUCUCUGGUGAAUCAUGAUAACUGCUCGAAUCGCAGGGCCUCGUGCCGGCGAUGGUUCAUUCAAAUUUCUUCCCUAUCAACUUUCGAUGUUUGGGUAUUGGCCAAACAUGGUUACAACGGGUAACGGAGGGUUAGGGCUCGACCCCGGAGAAGGAGCCUGAGAGACGGCUACUACAUCCAAGGAAGGCAGCAGGCGCGCAAAUUACCCAAUCCCGACACGGGGAGGUAGUGACAAUAAAUACUGAUACAGGGCUCUUUCGGGUCUUGUAAUUGGAAUGAGUACAAUUUAAAUCCCUUAACGAGGAACAAUUGGAGGGCAAGUCUGUGC